UCCUCCUCUCGCUCAGAGACAGUUCCUCUCUCCCUCUCGUAAUGCCGCCUUCCCUCCAGCACAUCAGUCAGAUGCGACCUCGAGCAGCGACGCCCCUUCCUCCAUCUCGACCUUUAGCAGCGGCAGCGACCACCCUCUACGCUACAGGUUUCCGAUCCGUGCUACCGUCGAUGGUGGCCGCGCUUCCGCAGUCCCUAAAACGUCCCUUCCCCAGGCCAGGUAGCUCCAAGCAGACGUGUACCACGUCUCUGUUUUGUUGUAAUACCUUGUGUAAGUUUGUCCGAACUACAGAUUUACAGAGUGGAUUAUGGCAGAUUUGGGGGAGAUAUCGUGUGUAAGUUUGAUCCAUGGGAUAAGUCGUGUCGUUUCCGAUCGCUAAUAAUCUUGUUAUGAUGCUUAAUGAAUCUGUCCUUUUCAAUAGACCUCUUCAUGGAAAUACACUCAUGUUAACUUGAUUUGAUGUGAACGGUUGUUGGCAUCGGUGAGGAGAGCCAUUUUAUUCAGUUGUACCCUUCUUUAAGGCAUAUUACAUGGAGUUGCACUUUUUAAUACAUGUUCUUGAGGUUUGCCAUUUGAUAGACAUGACCAGUGAACGAAUUAUGUAUGUGGAUUGUUUGGAUCGAGCAAGAGAGUACAUGUAUUUCCUUAAUUUGUUGGAGAACUCAAUAUUGAUGCAGAGACAUUCAAGGUUAUUUAUACCUGGUUUAAUUACUCAACCUAUAGUUUAUUUCCAUGCCGAGGUGUUCAAUUGUUGUCUUCGCAAAAAGUUCUUGAGAGAAAUAAUAGUGCCAUUCGAAUUCCGGUGUCUACUCUUAGAUCUGAUCAUCUUAUUCUUUAAUUCAUUUUUUUCAGGAUUUUACCUUGGAAUUCCUCGGUUGGACUACGUCUUCAAGUCUACACUGCUUUGUCCUAAUUACAUAGUAUCUACAUCACUACGCCACAACAAAAGAUGGGUUUCGAGCUAAUAUUCUUUAAGUGCUGAAAUAGGUCGCUAUGGCAUAUCAACUUCCAACUGAAAGUAGUGGUAAAUUACAAGGCUAUAUAUAUCAAACAUAGUUAUUUAUCAUAGUUUUACAAGUGCAGGGGCCAUCUGAAUCUACUUUGCCAUCAUUGUAGUUACUUUGAUGAAAUUACAAGUUGUCUUUGAUGGAGGAGUAGAGAAAGGAACUCCCUUCUUUGCAGGCCCAGCUUAGCGUACUGGAAGGGAAAUUGCUUGAGCGAGAUGAAGCUUUGGGGUCAGUCGAGUACGUGAUACACCCCACGAACUUAAUUGAUAUAAUGCAUGACGGGAAUAUCAAGUUUGCUAUUUCCCUUCCGAAUUAUAUUAUCAUGCUUGUUUGUAUCAGAUGCAAGACAACAUGCAGAUACGUAAGUAACAUAUGUAAUCUCCUCCGCGUUAUUUAUUUCUAGCUCAUAAAAUUGUAGACUCAAUGUAAACACUUCUCUAGCGACAUCCCUCUUAAAUACUUGCUAAUUUGUUGUUAUUAUUGCAUAUUUUGUUAGGACAAAAGCAGGCAACACUCUAAAUGUUAUAAAGGGUGGAAAAGGUGCAGGUAAAAGAAUUUAGGAGCGUGAAGUAGAUGUAGCCUUUCUGCAUGUUCAAAUCUUAUGCGCUGAAUAUAUUUAGGGAAUCUGAUGAUUACUCAUUCAAAUGCCAACUAGUUUCAAUGUAAGCUCCGGUUUUCCUGGUUACAUUUUCCAUAAACUCUUCAACACUA
Long non-coding RNA from Lolium perenne, 1718 nucleotides. RefSeq lists it as uncharacterized. The record is from RefSeq and is a predicted model, not a curated record. Lineage: Eukaryota; Viridiplantae; Streptophyta; Magnoliopsida; Poales; Poaceae.